AAGGCAGGGACCGUCCCUCUUGGACGUACGUCCCGCUUUUUUUUUUCUCUUUUCAAUUUUUUUUUUAGUUUUUUUGGGUAGGGGACAUGGCAAGGGCAUUGGGGACAUGGCAAGGACUACCAAUGCCCUUGCCCUUACUAUAUAUAGAAAAAAACAAGUAUAUUUGUAACAAGAAAACAUGAAUCAAUGAUGAAUAAGGAACUUAUUUUU
RNAcentral lists this long non-coding RNA (210 nucleotides) under Capsella rubella. Its description in RNAcentral is "long non-coding RNA (CRUB_LNC003022)". The record is from RNAcentral. Lineage: Eukaryota; Viridiplantae; Streptophyta; Magnoliopsida; Brassicales; Brassicaceae.